CGGCGCGCCAUACGAACGACGACGGGUCGCGCACUACGAGUAGGGCGCUGGUCGGCUCCGAAACCCCCGAAGAAGAGACGGAAGAAGAAGAAGAAGGUGGAGUAGGAAGUGGUAGCUGACUACGACGAUUUAAAUCAAUACGACGCAACUUAGCACCAGCCAGUGCAUCGAGGCGAAACACACGAAGGUUAGCGAACAACCCGAGGAGUAAACGAAUCUCGGCCGAGGGAAUCGAGGAAUCGUCGAGAGAGCGAGUGAAUCCAAGCGGACAGGAUGUCUUCAGCGAUCGCUAAAGCUUCCAAAUACACGUACCGCUCCACCGGCGGUGGUACUGCCGAUGUCAGCAUCGAAUACAGCGCCGACCUCAGCGCUCUCACCAGACUGGAGGACAAAAUCCGCCUGCUGCAGGAUGACCUGGAGUCUGAGAGAGAACUGCGCCAGAGGAUCGAACGCGAGCGCGCUGAUUUGAGCGUGCAAGUCAUCCAGCUGUCCGAACGUCUCGAAGAGGCAGAGGGUGGCGCCGAAUCUCAAUUCGAGAUCAACAAGAAGAGGGACACGGAACUGGCCAAGUUGCGCAAACUACUCGAAGAUGUUCAUCUUGAGAGCGAGGAGACUGCGCAUCUUCUGCGCAAAAAACACCAGGAGGUUGUUGUCGACUUCCAGGAUCAAAUCGAUCAACUUGCAAAAGCACGCGCCAGGGCUGACAAAGAAAAAUCGAAAUUCCAACAGGAGGUUUACGAACUCCUCGCUCAGCUGGACAAUGUCACCAAAGAAAAGGUGAUGUCGAUAAAGACAGUGGAGAAGCUCGAAUUCCACGUGGCCGAGCUCAAUGUGAAAAUUGAAGAAUUGAACCGUACCAUCGUUGACAUCACCAGCCACAAAACUAGGCUCUCCCAAGAAAACAUUGAAUUAACGAAGGAAGUGCAAGACUUGAAGGUCAACAUCGAGAACGUGGUAUACUUGAGGACGCAAAUCGCAGGACAACUAGAGGACGCUCGUCGUCGUCUCGAAGAUGAAGAUCGUCGUCGUGCAUUGGUCGAAGCCUCCUUACAUCAGGUCGAGUCGGAAUUGGAAUCCGUUCGUAUUCAAUUGGAAGAAGAAUCUGAAGCACGUUUGGACAUUGAACGUCAGUUGGUCAAGGCCAACGGCGAAGUACAAAUUUGGAGAUCGAAAUACGAAACCGAAGCUAAUGCUCGCGCCGAAGAGGUAGAGGAAUUGCGUCGCAAGUACAGCGCACGUAUUCAGGAACAGGAAGAACAAAUUGAAACACUGCUUGUCAAGAUCAACAACCUCGAGAAACAAAAAUCGCGCUUACAGUCUGAAGUGGAAGUCCUGAUUAUCGACUUGGAGAAGGCCAAUGGAACAGCUCGGGAGCUGCAGAAACGCGUAGAACAAUUGGAGAAGAUCAAUGUUGAACUGAAGGCUCGUUUCGAUGAAAGCGUGGCGAUGUACGAGCAGAGCCAGCGCGAUCUUCGCAACAAACAACAGGAACUCCAACGCACCAAUGCUGAACUCGACAAAACUCGCGAGAUAAAGGACCAACUGGCUCGUGAGAACAAGAAAUUGACAGAUGACUUGGGUGAUGCCAAGAACCAGCUGGCCGACAUGAACCGCAGACUUCACGAACUGGAACUCGAACUUCGUCGUCUGGAGAACGAAAGGGAAGAGCUGGCUGCCGCCUACAAGGAAGCUGAAGCUGGCCGCAAGAUCGAGGAACAGCGUUCUCAGAGACUGGCCGCUGAAUUGACUCAGAUGCGUCACGAUUAUGAACGUCGCCUGACAGAGAAGGACGAAGAAAUUGAAAUCAUCCGCAAGCAGACCAGCAUCGAGAUCGAGCAGCUGAACGCUCGCGUGGUCGAGGCGGAGACCAAGCUGAAGACCGAGGUGCAGCGCGUAAAGAAGAAGCUGCAGAUCCAGAUCACCGAGCUGGAGCUGUCGCUCGACGUUGCCAACAAGAACAACAUCGACUUGCAGAAGACUAUCAAGAAGCAAUCUCUCACCUUGACCGAGCUUCAAGCCCACUACGACGAAGUUCAACGCCAGCUGCAGGUAACCCUGGACCAGCUGGGCAUCAGUCAAAGACGUCUCCAAUCGUUGACGGCCGAGCUCGAGGAAGUGCGCGGCAACUACGAAUCUGCCCUCCGUGCGAAGAGAACCGUCGAGCAGCAAUACGAGGAGUCGGUUAGCCGCAUCAACGAGCUGACCACCAUCAACGUGAACCUCGCCUCGUCGAAGGCCAAGCUCGAGCAAGAACUGUCGACCCUGGCUGGCGACUACGAAGAGGUCACCAAAGAAUUGAGAGUCAGCGACGAGAGAUACCAGCGAGUGCAGAACGAGCUCAAGCACACCGUGGAGAUCCUCCACGAGGAGCAAGAGCGCAUUGUAAAGAUCGAGGCCAUCAAGAAGUCCCUCGAGAUCGAAGUGAAGAACUUGUCCGUGCGAUUGGAGGAAGUUGAAGCCAACGCCAUCGUGGGAGGCAAGCGUAUCAUCAGCAAGCUCGAAGCUAGGAUUCGUGAUUUGGAACUGGAAUUGGACGAGGAGAAGCGCCGACACUCCGAGACGGUGAAGAUCCUGCGCAAGAAGGAGCGCAACAUCAAAGAGGUGAUGAUCCAGGUGGAGGAGGACUCGAAGAACAUCGCACUGCUGCAGGAAUCCCUGGACAAGGCCAGCCAGAAGGUGAACAUCUACAAGAGACAACUCCAGGAACAAGAGGGCAUGUCCCAGCAAAGCGUGACCAGGGUCCGCCGAUUCCAAAGGGAACUGGAGGCCGCGGAGGACCGCGCAGACACCGCCGAGAGCAACUUGACUCUGAUCCGCGCGAAACACCGCAGCUUCGUCACAACCUCCACCGUGCCCGGUUCCCAGGUGUACCUCGUCCAGGAGACGAGGACUGAUAUUUAAAAACGCCACCGCCAUCGACACCCCACCCUUUGCCACUUCGAAUGCCACCUCGUCGUCUUUAGAAACGCGUAACGAAUAAAUGACGAAAAAAAGGAAGAGCCCCAACACAUCAUCGUAAGACAGAAGAGCCGAGAAGAGUUUCCAACGGGCCGCAAUCGGGAACAUCGUGAAAAGGGGGAGAAUAAGAAAACCGUAUCACCUUAUUAUUCAUCCGUACUGGCGACAGCGCCCAAACGACCCGUCGUAAAUUCGAAAAAUAACUUGGCAAACGCGACGCGGUACCCGUCGCAACGAACUGCAAAAACAAAGCAAAGGCAAAGCAACGAAAAAAAAGUAAAAUGAAGAAAAGUUAACAAAACGCGCGACCAUCGUCUGUAUUCGAUCAAAUGAAAAUAAAGAUGUACGCCUAAAUCUAUAUGUACGCACGAAAAUCAACGAUUCGGUAAAUAUACUUCAUUGCAUCUAUUAUGUGAGAAUCGCUGCGCGUAAGGAGAGAGAAAAGUAAAUAAAUAAAUAAAAGAAUAUAAAAAAAAAAUGAACACAAGACCGUACAACCUGCGCCUUACGGCAAAAUUGAUAGCGCGUGUCGCACUUGUAUUUAAAUGAAUUAACUUUAAUUCUACUUCUAUUAUUAUAUAUAAAUAUACAUACAUAUAUAUAUAUAAUACAUAUAGAUAGGUAUUAUUGCCCAUACACACAACUCUCACUGUACGACAUACACAAUAACCUGUGUCAACAUUAAUUUAAUAAAUAAACUGAAACACGUA
RNA transcript from Hylaeus anthracinus, 3668 nucleotides. It is a transcript of the gene named paramyosin, long form-like, with no coding region annotated. NCBI's taxonomy places the organism in Eukaryota, Metazoa, Arthropoda, Insecta, Hymenoptera, Colletidae. The record is from RefSeq and is a predicted model, not a curated record. The transcript has 16 exons.